RNAcentral lists this ribosomal RNA (506 nucleotides) under uncultured bacterium. RNAcentral describes it as "partial 16S ribosomal RNA". It matches the Rfam family "Bacterial small subunit ribosomal RNA", at positions 29 to 523 of the family's 1533-position model. The record is from RNAcentral.
AGUGAACGCUGGCGGUAGGCCUAACACAUGCAAGUCGAACGGCAGCACAGGAGAGCUUGCUCUCUGGGUGGCGAGUGGCGGACGGGUGAGGAAUACAUCGGAAUCUACUCUGUCGUGGAGGAUAACGUAGGGAAACUUACGCUAAUACCGCAUACGACCUACGGGUGAAAGCAGGUGACCUUCGGGCCUUGCGCGAUUGAAUGAGCCGAUGUCGGAUUAGCUAGUUGGCGGGGUAAAGGCCCACCAAGGCGACGAUCCGUAGCUGGUCUGAGAGGAGGAUCAGCCACACUGGAACUGAGACACGGUCCAGACUCCUACGGGAGGCAGCAGUGGGGAAUAUUGGACAAUGGGCGCAAGCCUGAUCCAGCCAUACCGCGUGGGUGUAGAAGGCCUUCGGGUUGUAAAGCCCUUUUGUUGGGAAAGAAAUCCAGCUGGCUAAUACCCGGUUGGGAUGACGGUACCCAAAGAAUAAGCACCGGCUAACUUCGUGCCAGCCGCCGCAGUAA